UCCGAGUUAGACCCGGCAGUCUCGCUAGACAUAGUAACUAGCGACGAGGGUUGCGCUCGUUGCGGGACUUAACCCAACACCUCACGGCACGAGCUGACGACAGCCAUGCAGCACCUGUGCACGCUCCCUUGCGGGUCGGUCACCUUUCGGAUCCCUACCACGUGCAUGUCAAGCCCAGGUAAGGUUCUUCGCGUUGCAUCGAAUUGAACCACAUGCUCCGCUGCUUGUGCGGGUCCCCGUCAAUUCCUUUGAGUUUUAGCCUUGCGGCCGUACUCCCCAGGCGGGGCACUUAAUGCGUUAGCUGCGGCACGGGAGGAGUCGACACCUCCCACACCUAGCAUCCACAGUUUAGGGCGUGGACUAC
Molecule: unclassified non-coding RNA, 364 nt
Filed under: uncultured bacterium
Lineage: Bacteria
Description: contains 16S-23S intergenic spacer region
Source: RNAcentral